AACGAACGCUGGCGGCGUGGAUAAGACAUGCAAGUCGAACGGGAUUACUUUUGUAGCAAUACAGAAGUAAUUCAGUGGCGAACGGGUGCGUAACACGUGGGCAAUCUGCCGAGAAGUGGGGGAUAGCUCGCCGAAAGGCGAAUUAAUACCGCAUAUGAUCAGGGACGACAUCUUCCCAACAUCAAAGCCGGGGCAACCUGGCGCUUUUUGAGGAGCCCGCGGCCUAUCAGCUAGUUGGUGAGGUAACGGCCCACCAAGGCUAUGACGGGUAGCUGGUCUGAGAGGACGACCAGUCACACUGGAACUGAGACACGGUCCAGACACCUACGGGUGGCAGCAGUCGAGAAUUUUUCUCAAUGGGGGCAACCCUGAAGGAGCGACGCCGCGUGGAGGAUGAAGGCUUUCGGGUUGUAAACU
Molecule: ribosomal RNA, 417 nt
Filed under: uncultured bacterium
Lineage: Bacteria
Description: bacterial SSU rRNA
Rfam family: Bacterial small subunit ribosomal RNA
Source: RNAcentral